AUGUUGUAUGAAAGGAGAGAAGGUUAGCACUCCCCUUGACAAGGAUGGAAGAGGCCCUCGGGCCUAACAACACGCAUAGGGUUAAGGACCAUGUCCCAGAGCUAAGGGAUGUGCCCUACAACUAAGUGU
RNAcentral lists this non-coding RNA (129 nucleotides) under Catagonus wagneri (Chacoan peccary). Lineage: Eukaryota; Metazoa; Chordata; Mammalia; Artiodactyla; Tayassuidae. The record is from RNAcentral.